This 473-nucleotide ribosomal RNA is filed under the name uncultured bacterium. RNAcentral's name for it is "bacterial SSU rRNA". It matches the Rfam family "Bacterial small subunit ribosomal RNA", at positions 8 to 507 of the family's 1533-position model. The record is from RNAcentral.
AGAGUUUGAUCCUGGCUCAGGAUGAACGUUGGCGGCGUGCCUAACACAUGCAAGUCGAACGAGGUAGAAAUAUUUGAGUGGCGCACGGGUGGGUAACACGUAGCUAAUCUACCUCAAAGCGCGGGAUAACGUGUCGAAAGACAGGCUAAUACCGCAUAAGCUCCCGGUCUGUAGAGGAUUGGGAGAAAAGGCGCAAGUCACUUUGAGAUGAGGCUGCGGCCCAUCAGCUAGUUGGUGCGGUAAUGGCGUACCAAGGCGACGACGGGUAGGGGACCUGAGAGGGUGACCCCCCACACUGGGACUGAGACACGGCCCAGACUCCUACGGGAGGCAGCAGUGAGGAAUAUUGCACAAUGGGCGAAAGCCUGAUGCAGCGACGCCGCGUGGGUGAAGAAGGUUUUCGGAUCGUAAAACCCUUUUCUGUGUGACGAGCAAGGACGGUAGCACAGGAAUAAGUCUCGGCUAACUACGUG